GAUGAACGCUGGCGGCGUGCUUAACACAUGCAAGUCGAACGGUGAAGCCAAGCUUGCUUGGUGGAUCAGUGGCGAACGGGUGAGUAACACGUGAGCAACCUGCCCUGGACUCUGGGAUGAGCGCUGGAAACGGCGUCUAAUACUGGAUAUGAGCCUCUUCCGCAUGGUGGGGGUUGGAAAGAUUUUUUGGUCUGGGAUGGGCUCGCGGCCUAUCAGCUUGUUGGUGAGGUAAUGGCUCACCAAGGCGUCGACGGGUAGCCGGCCUGAGAGGGUGACCGGCCACACUGGGACUGAGACACGGCCCAGACUCCUACGGGAGGCAGCAGUGGGGAAUAUUGCACAAUGGGCGAAAGCCUGAUGCAGCAACGCCGCGUGAGGGAUGACGGCCUUCGGGUUGUAAACCUCUUUUAGCAGGGAAGAAGCGAAAGUGACGGUACCUGCAGAAAAAGCGCCGGCUAACUACGU
RNAcentral lists this ribosomal RNA (465 nucleotides) under uncultured bacterium. RNAcentral describes it as "partial 16S ribosomal RNA". It matches the Rfam family "Bacterial small subunit ribosomal RNA", at positions 28 to 506 of the family's 1533-position model. The record is from RNAcentral.